GAGAUCAUACUUUAUAGAGAAGGUCUAUUUUGCGUAUAGAAAGAGAGUUAUCUGAUUUCA
Molecule: transfer RNA, 60 nt
Filed under: Aegista aubryana
Lineage: Eukaryota; Metazoa; Mollusca; Gastropoda; Stylommatophora; Camaenidae
Description: tRNA-Ala
Source: RNAcentral